RNAcentral lists this unclassified non-coding RNA (329 nucleotides) under soil metagenome. Its description in RNAcentral is "partial contains 5.8S ribosomal RNA, internal transcribed spacer 2, and large subunit ribosomal RNA". The stretch from base 1 to 120 matches the Rfam family "5.8S ribosomal RNA", at positions 35 to 154 of the family's 154-position model. The record is from RNAcentral.
GAUGAAGAACGUAGCGAAAUGCGAUAAGUAGUGUGAGUUGCAGAAUUCAGUGAAUCAUCGAAUCUUUGAACGCACAUUGCGCCCCUUGGUAUCCCGAGGGGCAUGCCUGUUCGAGCGUCAUUUCACCACUCAAGCCUGGCUUGGUGUUGGGCGACGUCCCCUUUGGGGACGCGCCUCGAAACGCUCGGCGGCGUGGCACCGGCUUUAAGCGUAGCAGAAUCUUUCGCUUUGGAAGUCGGGGCCCCGUCUGCCGGAAGACCUACUCGCAAGGUUGACCUCGGAUCAGGCAGGGAUACCCGCUGAACUUAAGCAUAUCAAUAAGCGGAGGA